GGAGAGCUGACAGAGUGGUAAUGUACGAGCCUGCUAAGCUUUGAUUGUCGUUAAUUCGGCACGAAGGUUCGAUCCCUUCGCUCUCCG
This 87-nucleotide transfer RNA is filed under the name Chitinophagaceae bacterium. RNAcentral's name for it is "tRNA-Ser". It matches the Rfam family "tRNA". From Rfam's summary of the family: Transfer RNA (tRNA) molecules are approximately 80 nucleotides in length. The record is from RNAcentral. Lineage: Bacteria; Pseudomonadati; Bacteroidota; Chitinophagia; Chitinophagales; Chitinophagaceae.